Molecule: ribosomal RNA, 101 nt
Filed under: uncultured bacterium
Lineage: Bacteria
Description: partial 16S ribosomal RNA
Source: RNAcentral
UCAUUAGAUACCCCGGUAGUCCACACCGUAAACGAUGGAUACUAGGGAGGGAGCAGUCGAAGGAGAAGCCAGCGACUGGGGUGAAGUCGUAACAAGGUAAC